GAUGAAGAACGUAGCGAAAUGCCAUAAGUAAUGUGAAUUGCAGAAUUCAGUGAAUCAUCGAAUCUUUGAACGCACAUUGCGCCCCUUGGUAUUCCGAGGGGCAUGCCUGUUCGAGCGUCAUUAUAACCCCUCAAGCUCAGCUUGGUGUUGGGGCCUGCUGCACUGGCAGCCCUUAAAAUCAGUGGCGGCGCCAUCUGGCUCUAAGCGUAGUAAUUCUUCUCGCUAUGGAGUCCUGGUGGAUGCUUGCCAUCAACCCCCAAUUUUUCUAUGGUUGACCUCGGAUCAGGUAGGGAUACCCGCUGAACUUAAGCAUAUCAAUAAGCGGAGGA
This 329-nucleotide unclassified non-coding RNA is filed under the name soil metagenome. RNAcentral's name for it is "partial contains 5.8S ribosomal RNA, internal transcribed spacer 2, and large subunit ribosomal RNA". The stretch from base 1 to 120 matches the Rfam family "5.8S ribosomal RNA", at positions 35 to 154 of the family's 154-position model. The record is from RNAcentral.